Molecule: long non-coding RNA, 967 nt
Organism: Tupaia belangeri chinensis (Chinese tree shrew)
Lineage: Eukaryota; Metazoa; Chordata; Mammalia; Scandentia; Tupaiidae
Exons: 3
Source: RefSeq, a predicted model, not a curated record
UUAUACUGUAGUUUUACAACAUUGAUGCUCAAGCAAAUAAAACAACAGAUCAUCCAUGAUGUUUAACAUAUAGACUCUUGUUUACUUUGGCUUUUCUCAUUUCUCAAGUAAUCAUUGACCAUAUUUACUGGAGCAAUUAUGGUGAAAGUGUGCUGGCAUAAUAACAAAAGUUACCCAUAAAAUGUAAGUCUCUAAGAGACGGAUAAUUCUCUUGAACUGGUACAAUGGAAACAAAAUGAUGAGGCUUUAUGGGGAAAUGUGUGCCACACUGAACUUCCUGGUUAAGAAGCUUGCCUUUAAGCACAGAUUCUCUGAGUCAAAAGACCCAGCUUUUGAAAAUUCAGACCUUUUUCUCUUGUCUCCUGCAACAAACAUUCUUGAAUCUGAAAAGAGCCUGCAGGGAGAGUCAUCUUACCACAAAAGAAGUUCUUAGGCAUCCACAAAUGCCUUUACUUUUGGAAGAUAUUUUCACAGAAAUCCUGAAAGAGAUUGUUUACCCUGCUUAUAUAUGUAUGAGAGCCUUGAGAAAUCAUCUUUAAAAUGUCUGGUUAAUCCAGUUUAAUCACUAUUGUUUUGAUUCUUAUUACUGCAAAAAUGAUUGCCCCUGCACGAUGUCAUUGCUCCAGUAGAUGGCAGAAGUAUACUAUGUACCAAAUUGUAGUAAGUUUGAAAACUUGUACACUGAAGGCAUGAACAAAUGGUCUCAACCUGUUUUAAAAAUCUGCCUUUGUUGUGUUUGGGACACCGUGGAUGUAAAGGGAAUUGUAGCAUUCCAUCACAGAUACCUCUGAUUCUGACAGGUUUUGCUGAUAUUCUGCAGAAUAAAAAAAUAAUUCAGAAGAGCCAGUGAUCUCAGGCAGAAUUGUCAUGCCUGUAUGCUAAUCUUGUAGUCAACUCAAUCAGACUCUUGCUUUGUUUUAUUUUAAUAAAGCAAACUGAAUACAAUAAAAAAAUCAUUUUAAUUAAA